This 378-nucleotide unclassified non-coding RNA is filed under the name uncultured Gammaproteobacteria bacterium. RNAcentral's name for it is "contains 16S-23S intergenic spacer region". Lineage: Bacteria; Pseudomonadati; Pseudomonadota; Gammaproteobacteria. The record is from RNAcentral.
UCUCGGCUUAUCACCGGCAGUCCCCUUAGAGUGCCCAACUGAAUGCUGGCAACUAAGGGCGAGGGUUGCGCUCGUUGCGGGACUUAACCCAACAUCUCACGACACGAGCUGACGACAGCCAUGCAGCACCUGUGUAAUGGUUCUCUUUCGAGCACCCUCAAAUCUCUCCGAGGUUCCAUCCAUGUCAAGGGUAGGUAAGGUUUUUCGCGUUGCAUCGAAUUAAUCCACAUCAUCCACCGCUUGUGCGGGUCCCCGUCAAUUCCUUUGAGUUUUAAUCUUGCGACCGUACUCCCCAGGCGGUCAACUUCACGCGUUAGCUUCGUUACUGAACAGCAAGCCGUCCAACAACCAGUUGACAUCGUUUAGGGCGUGGACUAC